AAAAAACAAAUGCGCUUGUAGGGUGGUUGAAAUAUUUUUUUUUUUGAACAAACAGGGUGGUUGAAAUAUAAGUUUCAGAGCUUUGACGAAAUGAGGAUAAGUCCAUAGUUUAAAAAAAAAUGAGGAUAAGUCCAUCAUACUCGGUAAUUCUUUAAUUUCAGAAAAAUAAAUAAAAACUAUGGCUUAUUUGCUAAAUAGCCAAAAAAAAGGGAAAUUAGAUUUAUAGAGAGAAAGUAGAGAGAGAUAGGAAGAGAAAGUAGGAGAGAGGUGGUGUUUUUAGUUAGUUAGUGAAUUUUAUUUUUUUUUAUGCUUACUGGGUGCAAUUUCCCUAAAAACUAAGAUCAAAGAUGAUUUUGAUGGCAACAAAUAAUUACCAUUACCUCUAUAAAACUAUAAAAGCUUUUAGGUAUAAUCAUUGCCAAUUAUCUUGGAAUUAAGGUGUGAAACAGUAUGUUUCAGAGCUUUGACGAAAUGAGGAUAAGUCCAUAGUUUAAAAAAAAAUGAGGAUAAGUCCAUCAUACUCGGUAAUUCUUUAAUUUCAGGAAAAUAAAUAAAAACUAAGAUCAAAGAUGAUUUUGAUGGCAACAAAUAAUUACCAUUACCUCUAUAAAACUAUAAAAGCUUUUAGGUAUAAUCAUUGCCAAUUAUCUUGGAAUUAAGGUGUGAAACAGUAUGUUUCAG
Molecule: long non-coding RNA, 681 nt
Filed under: Brassica rapa (field mustard)
Lineage: Eukaryota; Viridiplantae; Streptophyta; Magnoliopsida; Brassicales; Brassicaceae
Description: long non-coding RNA (BRAP_LNC001847)
Source: RNAcentral